RNAcentral lists this ribosomal RNA (386 nucleotides) under uncultured eukaryote. RNAcentral describes it as "SSU rRNA". It matches the Rfam family "Eukaryotic small subunit ribosomal RNA", at positions 587 to 972 of the family's 1831-position model. The record is from RNAcentral.
AGCUCCAAUAGCGUAUAUUAAAGUUGUUGCAGUUAAAAAGCUCGUAGUUGAAUUUUGGCCUUCGCCUGUGGGGUUCGGUCUUCAUUGAUCGGUACCUCAACGGGCGGGGCUCCACCUUCUGGGUUAGCCAGUCGUCAUUUCGGUGGCGGCUGGUGAACCAGAACUUUUACUUUGAAAAAAUUGGAGUGUUUAAAGCAGGCUUUCAAGCCUGAACAUAUUAGCAUGGAAUAAUGAAAUAGGACUUUGGCCUUAUUUCGUUGGUUUCUAAAGCCAAAGUAAUGAUGAAUAGGGAUAGUUGGGGACAUUAGUAUUCAAUUGUCAGAGGUGAAAUUCUUGGAUUUAUUGAAGACUAACUUCUGCGAAAGCAUUUGUCAAGGAUGUUUUCA